AAGUCGUACGGAGAGUGGGGCAACUCACUCUCAGUGGCAAACGGGUGAGUAACGCGUGAAUAACCUGCCUUUGAGAAGGGGAUAACUGUCCGAAAGGAUAGCUAAUACCCUAUAUUGCCUUUUGUCACUAAGGCAAAAAGUGAAAGCGAGGCUGUCAAAGGCUUCGACUCAAAGAGGGGUUCGCGUCCUAUCAGGUAGUUGGUGGGGUAAUGGCCUACCAAGCCAAUGACGGGUAGCUGGUCUUAGAGGAUGAUCAGCCACAGUGGGACUGAGACACGGCCCGCACCCCUACGGGGGGCAGCAGUGGGGAAUCGUGGGCAAUGGGCGCAAGCCUGACCCCGCAAUGCCGCGUGAGGGAAGAAGCCCUUCGGGGUGUAAACCUCUGUCAGAUGGGAAGAU
Molecule: ribosomal RNA, 399 nt
Filed under: uncultured bacterium
Lineage: Bacteria
Description: bacterial SSU rRNA
Rfam family: Bacterial small subunit ribosomal RNA
Source: RNAcentral